GACGAACGCUGGCGGCGUGCUUAACACAUGCAAGUCGAACGGAAAGGCCCUGCAUUUGUGCGGUUCUGGAGUGCCGAAAGCGGGAGUGACACGUGUGUAACCUGCCCUUGACUUUGGGGUAACUUCAGGAAACUGGAGCUAAUAUCGGAUAGGAGCUCCUGCUGCAUGGUGGGGAGGGGAAAGUUGCGGCGGUUGGGGAUGGACUCGCGGCUUAUCAGCUUGUUGGUGGGGUAGUCGUUUACCAAGGCUGGGACGGGUAGCCGGCAUGGGAGGGUGACCGGCGACAAUGGGCCUGAGAGAGGGACCAGAGUGCAACAGGGGGCAGCAGUGGGGAAUAUUGCCCAAUGGGCGGAAGCCUGAUACAGCAACGCCGCGUGUGGGAUGACGGUUUGUGGGUUGUAAACCGCAUUCGCAUGUGACGCAGCGUGAGUGACGGUAACGGGUAAAGAAGCACCGGCUAACUACGUG
Molecule: ribosomal RNA, 468 nt
Filed under: uncultured bacterium
Lineage: Bacteria
Description: partial 16S ribosomal RNA
Rfam family: Bacterial small subunit ribosomal RNA
Source: RNAcentral